This 302-nucleotide long non-coding RNA is filed under the name Hordeum vulgare. Its description in RNAcentral is "long non-coding RNA (HVUL_LNC006742)". Lineage: Eukaryota; Viridiplantae; Streptophyta; Magnoliopsida; Poales; Poaceae. The record is from RNAcentral.
AGUAGUAGCGUGGUUUAUACCCCAUACUAGUACUAUCAACUUAGCAGUAAAGCGGGUUAUAUACCCCACGCUACUAGUAUGGCUUGUCCCGGGUGGCACAGUGAAGACCUCUUAGUAGUAGCUUCGAUUUAUACCCCGCGCUACUACAAUCAACUUAGCAGUAACGCAGGUUUUAUACCCCACGCUACUAGUAUGGCUUGUCCCCGAUGGGAGGGGGGCACAGUGAAGACCACUUAACAGUAGCGUGAGUUUAUACCCCGCGCUACUACUAUCAACUUAACAGUACCGCGGGUGUUAUACCC